UGGCUCGAGGACGACGCUGGCGGCGUGCCUAACACAUGCAAGUCGAACGGGGUGUCCUUCGGGGACACUUAGUGGCGAACGGGUGAGUAACGCGUGAGAAACCUGCCUUUCAGUGGGGGACAACAGUUGGAAACGACCGCUAAUACCGCAUAACAUCAUUUUAUCGCAUGGUAGAAUGAUCAAAGAUUUAUCGCUGAAAGAUGGACUCGCGUCUGAUUAGCUAGUUGGUGAGGUAACGGCUCACCAAGGCGACGAUCAGUAGCCGGACUGAGAGGUUGAACGGCCACAUUGGGACUGAGACACGGCCCAGACUCCUACGGGAGGCAGCAGUGGGGAAUAUUGCACAAUGGGCGCAAGCCUGAUACAGCAACGCCGCGUGAGGGAAGACGGUCUUCGGAUUGUAAACCUUUGUCUUUGGUGAAGAACAAAUGACGGUAGCCAAGGAGGAAGCCACGGCUAACUACGUG
This 467-nucleotide ribosomal RNA is filed under the name uncultured bacterium. RNAcentral describes it as "bacterial SSU rRNA". It matches the Rfam family "Bacterial small subunit ribosomal RNA", at positions 20 to 507 of the family's 1533-position model. The record is from RNAcentral.